Molecule: transfer RNA, 74 nt
Filed under: Klebsiella pneumoniae subsp. pneumoniae
Lineage: Bacteria; Pseudomonadati; Pseudomonadota; Gammaproteobacteria; Enterobacterales; Enterobacteriaceae
Description: tRNA-Ile
Rfam family: tRNA
About the family: Transfer RNA (tRNA) molecules are approximately 80 nucleotides in length. Their secondary structure includes four short double-helical elements and three loops (D, anti-codon, and T loops).
Source: RNAcentral
AGGCUUGUAGCUCAGGUGGUUAGAGCGCACUCCUGAUAAGGGUGAGGUCGGUGGUUCAAGUCCACUCAGGCCUA